AUAAAAUCAUAAACCCAUGACAUGUCUAAGUAUAAGCAUUAUACACUAGUAGAAUGUGAAUGGGUCAUUAUAUCACCCUUUUAGAAUUUGAGAUUACAUUUCUACUUGGAUAAUCGUGGUGAUUCUUGAGCUGAUACAUGAUGAUACGGCCGGGUUCCCGGCUGAUGUAUGUUAUAUAAAAAAACAAUGUCCUCGGUCUCUAUGGUUAAUCAUAAUAACUUGACGAAUCUCCUGGUCUUGUGCCGGUGAGGUUUCAAUCGAAUUUCUGCCCUAUCGACUUUUCAUGGUACGAUAGAGGGAUACCGUGCUUUUAAGGGUUAACGGGGAAUCAGGGAACAAUGCCGGAAAGCGAGACAGAGAAACUGAUACCACAUUCCACGAUGGCAGGAAGGGCGCAAGUUACCCAAUCCUGACACACGGAGGCAGAGACGUAAAGAACUAUACAAGGACUAUUGGGCCUCGCAAUUGUAAUGAGAACAAUGUAGUACACCGUAACUAGCAACACUUAGGAGCGCAUGUCUGGUGCCACCGGCCGCGGCAAUUCCAGGCUCUUAUAGUAUAUAUUAACGUUGUUGCCGUUGAUAAGCUCAAAAAGCUCACC
Molecule: ribosomal RNA, 601 nt
Filed under: Blastocystis sp.
Lineage: Eukaryota; Bigyra; Opalinata; Blastocystidae
Description: SSU rRNA
Rfam family: Eukaryotic small subunit ribosomal RNA
Source: RNAcentral